Brassica rapa (field mustard) is the source of this 5403-nucleotide long non-coding RNA. RefSeq lists it as uncharacterized. NCBI's taxonomy places the organism in Eukaryota, Viridiplantae, Streptophyta, Magnoliopsida, Brassicales, Brassicaceae. The record is from RefSeq and is a predicted model, not a curated record.
AUGUCAUUGAAAUUUAGUUAUAUACCAUAUAAAAUAAAUAAACUGAUUGUUUUGAUUAAUUUACCAAAAUAGUAUCGUAAAUAAACAAGAUAUAUUGUUUUGAUUUAUGUCUUUACUCUAAUUUAAUUAUAUACAUAAUACAUAAAUGAAUACAAAUAAAUAAUAAUAAAUAAAAAUUAAUUUUAUAUAUAACAUUCAUCCUGCGCAAUUGCGUGGAUCUUAAACUUGUUAUUAUGUAAAUUAUUUGGCAAGUGAUAUUAAUUGGUUAUAGACUUACCUUUUCUUUUUAGAUCUAAUUAAAUAAAUAAAAAUUAAAAAUUAUUGACCAAUCAAAUUAUAACAAUUUUGUAAGAGUUCACCUAUGAUCGGUACGUAAGGAAAAAUCACUAAAGUGACUUCUCAAUUAAUAUAUAGUAGGAAAUAUAUUUUAUAAAUUUAACACAUCAUCACUUAUUUUAUAAAUUUAACACAUCAUUAUUGUUUCUUUAAUUAAUAAAUUAUUCCUACAUUUCCAUCUUCUUCUUAUUUAUAUCAAAUUUAUUAUAUAUACUAGGGGCAUUGCCCCCGCGCAAGCGCGGAAAUGCGGACAAAGUUUUUUUUUCAUCUCAAUAUUUGUUAGGGUUAUUGUAGUUGUGAAUUUUGUGUUUUGGGUUGAUCAUUGUUUUACAAGUUUUUUAAUUGUUAUAGGGUUAGAAUUGUGAUGAUGAACUGUGUAUGCAUUGUUCUCCACUUAGGAAUGACUAAACUGUGUUAGUAAUGUGAUUGAUAUAGUUCGUGGUGUUUCUUGAUAUGUCACUAAGACUUAUUGUUUGUUUGUCUUUUUAAUUUGUCUCUUGUAUUGUUGAGAGUACAUAAAUUAUAUUAAGGUUGUUGAGCGUACCUUUUAUUUUUGGAUAUUUUUUCUCCAAUUUAGUUGUGUAAGUUGUAUGUAUUAAGUAAUAAUUUUUAUUAUCCAUAUUAUGUUUGUUAUAUGUUUUUUUAUUUUUAAAUUUGUUGCUUUCACCGGACCUUUAAAACAAAUACAUAAAGACUUUGUAGAAAUAACUAUAAAACGAGUGACAAUUCUGAGUAUUUGGGAUUUAAUGGGUUUUAACAAAUUUAUGUAUUUCUUAUAAGAAAACAAUAGCAUUGGCCUGUUGACAUUGGACAUGUAAGUUAUUUUCAUAAGAUAAGAGGAGUGAGCAGGUGGAGAUGUUGUUGCCACUUCUGUGUCUGUCGAGAUUGUCUCUUGUAUCUCAUGGUGUGGAUGUGUUUGUAUCUCUUUAUUUGAUGGGUAAUAUGUAAACACAAAUCAUUGUAAGUUAUAUUUAUCAGAUUUCGUAACUUACUCUGCUUUUUUUAAGGUAAUUUUACUGAUCUUAGUUGUCUUCUUCGUCUUUUUCGUAAGCAUUUGCGAACGUAAGUUUGUAAAUUGUUAAAUAGUUGGUUGUGUAUUUUGUAUUGUUUAGCUGCUCGAUGUAUAUGUUGUUGAGUUUUAGUUGAGGUGAUUUGUUUGGUAUAUUUGUUUUGAAGUUUAUUUGUAAGAUUAGACAAAAAAAAAGGUGAUCAUUAAUGAUUUGUUUUUGGGAUUCUAGUUUUUGGUGUUUUGAUUGUUUGAGUUGUUGUGGUUUCUUUUAAGCUUUAAAAUAAAAGUUUGUGUAAAAUUAGUUUGAUAAGUAAAGGAGAUAAAUAGACGACCACCUGUCUUGGUUAUGUCUUGGUUAGAAAAUAUUUUUGAUUAUUGAUGCUAACAUGAUAUAGACAGUAAUAUAAAGGGAAUUGUGUAUUGAUUGUUUUUUACGGAUCAAUGAGGAGCUGGAUAACGACUCGAGUUGUUUCUUUGGUUAGGUCAGAGCUCUGAACAAAACGGAUUUUUCCAACCACAUAUGCGAGUUUAAAUAUCAGUUAUGAUAUCGAAACAUAAUAUAAACUCAUAUGCAAUAUGAUAAUAUACAUGGAAAUUGUUGAACAGUCUAAUCAUGACUGGAGAUUGAUCUCAGGAGCACACAUGAUGGCUCAUCAAUAAUAGUUGCUGAGAUGAAAUGAGUGAGGAAUGUAUGAUCAGUUAUCUUGUGCAUGCUUGAGCACCUAGUAACCUCAAAACGAUCGACUUUCACAAUGGAACCGGCUUUCAAAGAUGACAUGUAAUGAUUAGCACGUCUGGCGGGAAUAAACCCAUGAAUCACAAAAUCUGAAAAUAAUAUUAUUCAACAAAGAAUAAAAAAAUCAAUUAAAAAUAAUUAUGUUAAAUAAGUGUGAUAGAUCGAAGAUUAACUUACCUUUUCAUCAAGAAAGAGAACCGUGAUUCCGAUAAACUCACUGUCUUUCUUGAAGUUCAGGGAAUCCCAGAAGCGGAGGAGGCCAGAAGCUAUGCUCUGACUACUACGACCAAGACGGAGAGACUCGAAGAUUGAGUGACGGAUGCCGGUUUUUAGGAACUGGAUAGGCAGAUAGAGAGACAUUUCUAGAAGCUGGUUAAAGCUAAGAGGAAUCAAUGAGUUUUGUGGAGAUGCAAAUUAGGUUCAUUAAAGAUGAGAAUUAUAUAUAUAUGGUUUACAGAGGGGCUACAAAUCAGGAACAUUUAUGAUCCAGCGAUUUAAAAUGGGGAGAUGAAUAGAUUACGAACAGACACACGGCGCAACUCUGUAACUCAGAUUUAUCUGAGACAAUGAUGAAAAGAACCAUAACUCAUGUUAAACGACAACAAUUUACAAUAUGGGAAAACAUAAUUGUUGCAUACUUGAGUUUUUUUUCAUAUAACAUGAUGAAACUCAUUUAAAAAUGAAACCCAUAAUACACUUGUAGGCCCGAUCCUCAGAGGAAGCCGAAGAAAGCAAGGGCUUCCGACCUUCAUAAAUAUAUAUUAGUUUUGGUCAUCAAUGUACAAAGUAUCUUUUAGUUUAAUGGUAUAAAUGUUGGUAUUAAUAUCUCAAUAACUCGGUUCGAGUCAUGAAUUUGACACUUUUCACAGUUUUUAAAAAUGGAACCCACAAAACGCUGACGUGACACGCUAAGGAACGAUUAAAGUGCCGCAUUAUAAUGCAGACUAGGUAGUUGUCCGCGAUUUCGCGGGUAUAAAUAUUUAUGAAAAUUAUAUAUUAUGUUUAUAAUUUUAUAAUUUUUAAUAAUAACCAUAACUAUUAAAAAUAAUCUUUUUGUUUUAAAUAGUUUGAAAAUCAAAGUCUUGAUAUUGUAUAAUCUGAGAAGAUUAUUGAGAUAUAGUGUUAAUUUCUAUAAAUUUUAUUAUAAAUUUUUAAAAGUUUUUUUAUGACAUAAUUUUUUAUUAAUAAAAGAAACAAAGAUUAAUAAACAAGAAGUUAUUUUAUAACACAUUCUAUUUUUGCAUUAUUUUUCUACCACAUUAUUUUAUUUAAAAGUAAAAUAGUUACAAAUAGUUAACUAACAGUUACAACACUACGUAAAACACAUGUAUUUCGGCAAACAUAUAAAACAUUAAGUACGUAAAAAUAUAAAAUAACAAAGAAUGCAACCAAGAAUACAACAAAUAAGUUUUUAUUAUUCUUCGCUGAUGUUUUAUAUAUGUAUCCUUCAUUUUUUCCUAUUACAAAAUAAGACUGUUAUUUUAUUAUAAUAUAUAUCAAUAGAGUAAAUCUAGUCUCAUAUUAAUAUAUUGUUUCUCAUUUUAAAUUUAUAUAUUAUAAUAAACUUUUUCAUUGAUUAAUAUUAUCUUAAAGUAUUUACAAUAUAAUUUUAUUAUAAUCAAAGCUGUAAGAAUUAUAUUAAUAGAGUAUAUUAACCUUAGUCUCAUAUUAGUAUAAUGUUCCAAUAUUUCAGUUUUAUAUUAUAAUAAUUAUUUUCAUUUAUUAAUAUUAUUUUAAAAUACUUACCAUAUAUUUUUCUGAUUUUAAAUAUACCAAUAUUUUAAUCAUUUCUAAAAGUAAUAACUCAACUACACAAUUAACAUUUGUUGCUGAAAAAUGACUGAAUGUUUUUAAAAUUGUAUAUUUGACUGUUUUACAAUAAUUGGACACAUUUAAUAUAUAUAGUGAGUAUAAAAAAAUAUUAUUAGGUUUAGGUUAAUUAGUUUUAUGUAAUCUAUAAUUUAUUGUAUCCACUAUUAAUAUAAAUAUGUUAAAAUCGUUUAUAUAAUUAUUUCUAUCAUACCAUAUGUAUUUAUAUGUAUAUUUUAAAUUUCUAUAAUGUAAUCUAUGAUAUUUAAUUGUUUCUAUAAACAAAUUAUGUUAAUUCUUCUAACUUUAAAUUGUUUAAUUAUUUGUAUGGUAAUCUAGGAUUAGUUUCUUUUUUAAAACUUUAAUUAAAUAAAUGAAAAUUUCAAAUACCAACAAUCAAUAAUUCUAAAUUUCACCUAUGAAUGACACCUAAGCAAAAGUCAAUUAAGUGACUUCUCAAUUAAUAUAUUGUAGAAUUUUAACAACUCAUAUUCUCUAAUUGAUAUUUUAUAUUCAAUUCAAUCAAAAUUUUGAUAUCGAUUGUUUAAUUUAAUGAAAAUAUGUAAUAUAACCUUUAAAAAAAUUAUGUAAUUGUUUUUCAUGUUUCAUCAAAACCAAAACAAUCAAAAUAAAUAAUAAUCAAUCUGGCAACAUUUUCCUCAUUUCUCAACAAGAUUAAGCUGUAAAAUGAUGGAAAAAAUAACUAGGCUCCGAAUGUUGACUGCGGUUUGAGCGGUGCGGGGCAAGCGGUUCAACUGCGGUGCAGUUUUAAUAGUUAUAAAAAUGUAUAUAGAUAUAUAGUAUAUGUAGAGAUUUUUGUUACUGUAAAAUGCGAAGCGGGGCGGGAUGAUGGUCACCAUUCGAAGCCUAAAGUUUAAUACAUAAAAACUAAUAUGAUAGACAAACUGUACAAUACACAACAACCCGCAAAGGAUAAUUAAAUAAAAACAAAUAUGAUAGUGAAUAACCUAAAACAAAUCAAACAAAAUAAAAUAAAUAUGCCGCUGAAAUAAAAAUAAAACAUUAUUUCAUUCAAAGAAUUAGUUACUAUGCAAUUUUGUUAAUCGUAACGAUUUUCAGUUUUUUUUUUUUUUUUGACAUCCGUAACGAUUUUCAGUUAUUAUGCAAUUUAAUUAACCAUGACGAUUUUGACACGCUCAAUAUCCGAACAUCAUAUACAACUAAAAAUUGCAUAGAAACAAUGGUUCGCAAAUAAUAUGUAACCAACCUUUUAAAUCUAAAAACAAAUGUCAUUGCAAAACAAAGUCAAAAUCUCUAAUCACGUCUAACAUCUAGUAUGUAUAUAUAUAUAUAUGUUUUUGCUGAACAUAUGAACAAAUUGUAGAUUUGGAGAAUUAAGUAGUGCAAGUCGAAAUACAUGUAGCUGGACACUAUGAAUCCAGUUGACAAAAAAAAAGAAGAUAUUGUGAAUCCCAAACUUGUUUAUUAAUCUCUCGUUUCGAAACUCAACAACAGCAACAACAACAGCAAAAGUUACACAUCGCAAAGGAAU